CUCUGUGGCUCAGUUGGUGGAUCAUGGCGCUUGCAACGCCAGGGUCGUGGGUUCGAUUCCCACUGGGG
This 68-nucleotide transfer RNA is filed under the name Salmo salar (Atlantic salmon). It matches the Rfam family "tRNA". Rfam says of the family: Transfer RNA (tRNA) molecules are approximately 80 nucleotides in length. Their secondary structure includes four short double-helical elements and three loops (D, anti-codon, and T loops). Further hydrogen bonds mediate the characteristic L-shaped molecular structure. tRNAs have two regions of fundamental functional importance: the anti-codon, which is responsible for specific mRNA codon recognition, and the 3' end, to which the tRNAs corresponding amino acid is attached (by aminoacyl-tRNA synthetases). tRNAs cope with the degeneracy of the genetic code in two manners: having more than one tRNA (with a specific anti-codon) for a particular amino acid; and 'wobble' base-pairing, i.e. permitting non-standard base-pairing at the 3rd anti-codon position. RNAcentral also lists the same sequence under 1 other name. Lineage: Eukaryota; Metazoa; Chordata; Actinopteri; Salmoniformes; Salmonidae. The record is from Rfam by way of RNAcentral.